RNAcentral lists this ribosomal RNA (464 nucleotides) under uncultured bacterium. RNAcentral describes it as "partial 16S ribosomal RNA". It matches the Rfam family "Bacterial small subunit ribosomal RNA", at positions 338 to 795 of the family's 1533-position model. The record is from RNAcentral.
CCUACGGGAGGCAGCAGUAGGGAAUCUUCCACAAUGGGCGAAAGCCUGAUGGAGCAACGCCGCGUGGGUGAAGAAGGUCUUCGGAUCGUAAAACCCUGUUGUUAGAGAAGAAAGUGCGUGAGAGUAACUGUUCACGUUUAGACGGUAUCUAACCAGAACGGCAGGGCUAACUACGUGCCAGCAGCCGCGGUAAUACGUAGGUGGCAGGCGUUAUCCGGAUUUAUUGGGCGUAAAGGGAACGCAGGCGGUCUUUGAAGUCUGAUGUGAAAGCCUUCGGCUUAACCGGUGUAGUGCAUUGGAACUGGGGGGACUUGAGUGCAGAAGAGGCGAGUGGAACUCCAUGUGUAGCGGUGAAAUGGGUAGAUAUAUGGAAGAACACCAGUGGCGAAAGCGGCUCUCUGGUCUGUAACUGACGCUGGGGUUCGAAAGCGUGGGUAGCAAACAGGAUUAGAUACCCUUGUGUC